RNAcentral lists this ribosomal RNA (493 nucleotides) under uncultured bacterium. RNAcentral's name for it is "bacterial SSU rRNA". It matches the Rfam family "Bacterial small subunit ribosomal RNA", at positions 30 to 517 of the family's 1533-position model. The record is from RNAcentral.
AUUGAACGCUGGCGGCAUGCCUUACACAUGCAAGUCGAACGGCAGCACGGGGCAACCUGGUGGCGAGUGGCGAACGGGUGAGUAAUGCAUCGGAACGUGCCAUUGAGUGGGGGAUAACGUAGCGAAAGUUGCGCUAAUACCGCAUAUUCUGUGAGCAGGAAAGCAGGGGACCGCAAGGCCUUGCGCUCUUUGAGCGGCCGAUGUCAGAUUAGCUAGUUGGUGAGGUAACGGCUUACCAAGGCGACGAUCUGUAGCGGGUCUGAGAGGAUGAUCCGCCACACUGGAACUGAGACACGGUCCAGACUCCUACGGGAGGCAGCAGUGGGGAAUUUUGGACAAUGGGCGCAAGCCUGAUCCAGCCAUGCCGCGUGAGUGAAGAAGGCCUUGGUUGUAAAGUCUCUUUCGGUCCGGGAAGAAAUCGCAUGGUUAAGUACCCUGUGUGGAUGACGGUACCGGAAGUAAGAAGCACCGGCUAACUACGUGCCAGCAGCCG